This is a long non-coding RNA of Esox lucius (northern pike), 943 nucleotides long. NCBI's taxonomy places the organism in Eukaryota, Metazoa, Chordata, Actinopteri, Esociformes, Esocidae. The record is from Ensembl.
CGCCGUCCAAGUGCUGCAAUAAGCGCCGUCAUUUACAGCGUCUUCACUGACUCAUGUCGCGGUCCAAAACGCCGUUGCCCCUGUACUACACGGCGUUUGCGACGCUGUUGUUGAUGUCUAUAAGCGUCCUAACGUAAGGCGUUCAUUAUCACUUAACGCGGUUAUUAACGCCUGUUUGGUUUCAAUUCCUUAUUUGGAUUUUGCAUCAAUCACAUGGCUAGAUUUCAACCAAUCGCUGAGGAGAACAACUUUGAAACACGGAAAAAUAACAACAGCAGCAAGUUAAACGGCACUAUCUUUCUACAUCGAACGGCAGCAACUUUUAUCUAACUACAGCUGGUUAGCUCGCUAGCUUGAUGGUUACUUUUGUGCCAUUUUUGACAUCCCAGUUUACUUGGUCUGACUCGCCUGUUACUGUACAGUACAUCAUUUCCAACACAUUGUUCUAAAAGACGGUGUUGCAUCCAAUUAUGGAUCUAUUAGGCUUCCUCACAUCUCUGGGGUUGAAGGACAGAACCUUGGGCAAACGCUUUCCUAUACUUCCCUCUACAAGUCAGGAGGAUCAUCAACACACAAGCCAACUUCCUGGACAUACAUGUUUGAGUCAUUGGCCCUUUGGAUGGUCAACAAGAACUUUGCAGAAGUUUCUACUCAGUGACAUUGAACCAGAGAAGCUCUUCCAUUCCCCAAUCCUUUCCAAACAAGAGACUGCUCACUUAAAUCUCAUGGCGGUGUAUUUAAUGACACAACUACUUAUUAUUUUUAGCAGGAUGCAUUGGCCACACAGAAUCAACUCUUCACAAGUAUGUGCAUUGGAACUUAAAUCAUUAGAAUCAACUAACAGGCAUGGGGGUCUAUGAUGUAAAUAGUCGAGGAAGUGUCUUGUUGUUAUACUUUUUAGAGAUGUUAAUACAAUUCUUAAUGUUGUCAAGUUAACAGUUCC